RNAcentral lists this ribosomal RNA (492 nucleotides) under uncultured bacterium. RNAcentral describes it as "partial 16S ribosomal RNA". It matches the Rfam family "Bacterial small subunit ribosomal RNA", at positions 29 to 507 of the family's 1533-position model. The record is from RNAcentral.
AGUGAACGCUGGCGGUAGGCCUAACACAUGCAAGUCGAACGGCAGCACAGUAAGAGCUUGCUCUUACGGGUGGCGAGUGGCGGACGGGUGAGGGAUACAUCGGAAUCUACUUUUUCGUGGGGGAUAACGUAGGGAAACUUACGCUAAUACCGCAUACGACCUACGGGUGAAAGCAGGGGAUCUUCGGACCUUGCGCGAUUGAAUGAGCCGAUGUCGGAUUAGCUAGUUGGCGGGGUAAAGGCCCACCAAGGCGACGAUCCGUAGCUGGUCUGAGAGGAUGAUCAGCCACACGGGAACUGAGACACGGUCCAGACUCCUACGGGAGGCAGCAGUGGGGAAUAUUGGACAAUGGGCGCAAGCCUGAUCCAGCCAUACCGCGUGGGUGAUGAAGGCCUUCGGGUUGUAAAGCCCUUUUGUUGGGAAAGAAAAGCAGCAGGUUAAUACCCCGCUGUUCUGACGGUACCCAAAGAAUAAGCACCGGCUAACUUCGUG